UACGGAGGGUGCAAGCGUUAUCCGGAUUCACUGGGUUUAAAGGGUGCGUAGGAGGGCAGGUAAGUCCGUUGUGAAAUCUCUGAGCUUAACUCGGAAACUGCCAUGGAUACUAUCCGUCUUGAAUGCGGUGGAGGUGAGCGGAAUAUGUCAUGUAGCGGUGAAAUGCUUAGAUAUGACAUAGAACACCGAUUGCGAAGGCAGCUCGCUACACCUGCAUUGACUCUGAGGCACGAAAGCGUGGGGAUCAAACAGG
RNAcentral lists this ribosomal RNA (253 nucleotides) under uncultured bacterium. Its description in RNAcentral is "partial 16S ribosomal RNA". It matches the Rfam family "Bacterial small subunit ribosomal RNA", at positions 524 to 776 of the family's 1533-position model. The record is from RNAcentral.